Molecule: ribosomal RNA, 497 nt
Filed under: uncultured bacterium
Lineage: Bacteria
Description: partial 16S ribosomal RNA
Rfam family: Bacterial small subunit ribosomal RNA
Source: RNAcentral
GAUGAACGCUGGCGGCGUGCCUAAUACAUGCAAGUCGAGCGAACGGACGAGAAGCUUGCUUCUCUGAUGUUAGCGGCGGACGGGUGAGUAACACGUGGAUAACCUACCUAUAAGACUGGGAUAACUUCGGGAAACCGGAGCUAAUACCGGAUAAUAUUUUGAACCGCAUGGUUCAAAAGUGAAAGACGGUCUUGCUGUCACUUAUAGAUGGAUCCGCGCUGCAUUAGCUAGUUGGUAAGGUAACGGCUUACCAAGGCAACGAUGCAUAGCCGACCUGAGAGGGUGAUCGGCCACACUGGAACUGAGACACGGUCCAGACUCCUACGGGAGGCAGCAGUAGGGAAUCUUCCGCAAUGGGCGAAAGCCUGACGGAGCAACGCCGCGUGAGUGAUGAAGGUCUUCGGAUCGUAAAACUCUGUUAUUAGGGAAGAACAUACGUGUAAGUAACUGUGCACAUCUUGACGGUACCUAAUCAGAAAGCCACGGCUAACCACGUG